UUCCAGACUCCUACGGGAGGCAGCAGUGGGGAAUAUUGCACAAUGGGGGAAACCCUGAUGCAGCAACGCCGCGUGGGUGAAGGAGCGUUUCGGCGCGUAAAGCCCUGUCAGCGGGGAAGAAGAAAGACGGUACCCGACCAAGAAGCUCCGGCUAACUACGUGCCAGCAGCCGCGGUAAUACGUAGGGAGCGAGCGUUGUCCGGAAUUACUGGGUGUAAAGGGAGCGUAGGCGGGCGAGAAAGUUGAAUGUUAAAUCUACCGGCUUAACUGGUAGCUGCGUUCAAAACUUCUUGUCUUGAGUGAAGUAGAGGCAGGCGGAAUUCCUAGUGUAGCGGUGAAAUGCGUAGAUAUUAGGAGGAACACCAGUGGCGAAGGCGGCCUGCUGGGCUUUAACUGACGCUGAGGCUCGAAAGCGUGGGGAGCAAACAGGAUUAGAUACCCCGGUAU
Molecule: ribosomal RNA, 447 nt
Filed under: uncultured bacterium
Lineage: Bacteria
Description: bacterial SSU rRNA
Rfam family: Bacterial small subunit ribosomal RNA
Source: RNAcentral